GACGAACGCUGGCGGCGCGCUUAACACAUGCAAGUCGAACGGAAAGGCCUGCUUUCCCUUGUGGAUUGCGGGUACUCGAGUGGCGAACGGGCGAGUAACACGUGAGUGAUCUGCCCCCAACUUGGGUAUAAGCCUGGGAAACUGGGUCUAAUUCCCGAUAGGACUGCAGGGUGGUGCCUGUGGUGGAAAACGAUUUUCUAGUGGUUGGGGAUGAGCUCGCGGCCUAUCAGCUUGUUGGUGGGGUAAUGGCCUACCAAGGCGGCGACGGGUAGCCGGCCUGAGAGGGUGGACGGCCACAUUGGGACUGAGAUACGGCCCAGACUCCUACGGGAGGCAGCAGUGGGGAAUAUUGCACAAUGGGCGGAAGCCUGAUGCAGCGACGCCGCGUGGGGGAUGACGGCCUUCGGGUUGUAAACUCCUUCCGACCGCGAGGAAGCCACCUGGUUGGAAGGGUGGUGACGGUAGUGGUAGAAGAAGCACCGGCUAACUACGUG
This 494-nucleotide ribosomal RNA is filed under the name uncultured bacterium. Its description in RNAcentral is "partial 16S ribosomal RNA". It matches the Rfam family "Bacterial small subunit ribosomal RNA", at positions 28 to 507 of the family's 1533-position model. The record is from RNAcentral.